GGCGGCGUGCUUAACACAUGCAAGUCGAGCGGAAAGGCCCUUCGGGGGUACUCGAGCGGCGAACGGGUGAGUAACACGUGAGUAACCUGCCCCUAGCUCUGGGAUAAGCCCGGGAAACUGGGUCUAAUACCGGAUAUCACACACUUUUGCAUGAUGGUGUGUUGAAAGUUUUUCGGCUGGGGAUGGGCUCGCGGCCUAUCAGCUUGUUGGUGGGGUGAUGGCCUACCAAGGCGACGACGGGUAGCCGGCCUGAGAGGGCGACCGGCCACACUGGGACUGAGACACGGCCCAGACUCCUACGGGAGGCAGCAGUGGGGAAUAUUGCGCAAUGGGCGGAAGCCUGACGCAGCGACGCCGCGUGGGGGAUGAAGGCCUUCGGGUUGUAAACCUCUUUCACCACCGACGAAGCUAACGUGACGGUAGGUGGGGAAGAAGCGCCGGCUAACUACGUGCCAGCAGCCGCGGUAAUACGUAGGGCGCAAGCGUUGUCCGGAAUUAUUGGGCGUAAAGAGCUCGUAGGCGGUCUGUUGCGUUGCCCGUGAAAACCCGAGGCUUAACCUCGGGCCUGCGGUGGAUACGGGCAGACUAGAGGUAGGUAGGGGAGAAUGGAAUUCCCGGUGUAGCGGUGAAAUGCGCAGAUAUCGGGAGGAACACCGGUGGCGAAGGCGGUUCUCUGGGCCUUACCUGACGCUGAGGAGCGAAAGCGUGGGGAGCGAACAGGAUUAGAUACCCUGGUAGUCCACGCCGUAAACGUUGGGCGCUAGGUGUGGGGUUCUUCCACGGAUUCCGCGCCGUAGCUAACGCAUUAAGCGCCCCGCCUGGGGAGUACGGCCGC
Molecule: ribosomal RNA, 835 nt
Filed under: Thermomonosporaceae str. IM-6932
Lineage: Bacteria; Bacillati; Actinomycetota; Actinomycetes; Streptosporangiales; Thermomonosporaceae
Description: bacterial SSU rRNA
Rfam family: Bacterial small subunit ribosomal RNA
Source: RNAcentral